RNAcentral lists this ribosomal RNA (497 nucleotides) under uncultured bacterium. Its description in RNAcentral is "partial 16S ribosomal RNA". It matches the Rfam family "Bacterial small subunit ribosomal RNA", at positions 28 to 507 of the family's 1533-position model. The record is from RNAcentral.
GACGAACGCUGGCGGCGUGCCUAAUACAUGCAAGUAGAACGCUGAAGCGAGGAGCUUACUCUUCUUGGAUGAGUUGCGAACGGGUGAGUAACGCGUAGGUAACCUGCCUUGUAGCGGGGGAUAACUAUUGGAAACGAUAGCUAAUACCGCAUAACAAUGGAUGACACAUGUCAUUUAUUUGAAAGGGGCAAUUGCUCCACUACAAGAUGGACCUGCGUUGUAUUAGCUAGUAGGUGAGGUAAUGGCUCACCUAGGCGACGAUACAUAGCCGACCUGAGAGGGGGAUCGGCCACACUGGGACUGAGACACGGCCCAGACUCCUACGGGAGGCAGCAGUAGGGAAUCGUCGGCAAUGGGGGCAACCCUGACCGAGCAACGCCGCGUGAGUGAAGAAGGUUUUCGGAUCGGAAAGCUCUGUUGUAAGUCAAGAACGGGUGUGAGAGUGGAAAGUUCACACUGUGACGGUAGCUUACCAGAAAGGGACGGCUAACUACGUG